UUAUUUGAUUGAUUCAAAUUUUCUCAGACUGCAUAAAUUAAAACGAAUUUAAGGUGUACUAUCGGGGCAGAGAAGCCCCGAAGCAACAAAAUUUUGGUAUAAGUUCACACGGGAUGGAGGGUCGAGACCAUGAAGAUCUCUAUCUCUGAUAAUGAUCCUUCCGCAGGUUCACCUACGGAAA
RNAcentral lists this unclassified non-coding RNA (181 nucleotides) under uncultured fungus. RNAcentral's name for it is "sequence contains ITS1". The record is from RNAcentral. Lineage: Eukaryota; Fungi.